AGAAGAUCCGCCAUUAUUAGGUUAUAGUGUAGACAUUGACAGUUUUUGAACCUUUGUGGAGCAGAAGUGCACCAUGGCUUGCCACAAUGUCACAAUGGGUCCUUGGAGAGCCGCUGGUGUUGACUUGUUGCCUGUCUCCUCUCUGCGGCAAAACUCCACAAAUACUCUACUCACCAAGUUCCAGAGGGAGAGGAUCACCAGCCACCAUCGGCCAUACUAAAGGAAGUGGCUCUAUGUAGGGGUGGAACAUGACAACUGAACCAGCUGGGACACACCUAGCCAACUGACUCCCUUGGACUGUGGCCUCACUGUGACCCGAGAGGAGGUUGCCACUCAACACUGAGGUCACACGGUUCCCUUUCUUAUGCAUGUCAGUGGUGUGGUGUGUGGUGUGUUUAGGUUUGGUUAGGUUAGGUGGGUUAGGUUGGGUUGGGUAAGUUUUUGAGGCAGUUUUGCAUGUUUGGAGGGUAUUUUUAAAAAUUUUAGCAUGUUUUAAGGGCAUUUU
Portunus trituberculatus (swimming crab) is the source of this 505-nucleotide long non-coding RNA. RefSeq lists it as uncharacterized. The record is from RefSeq and is a predicted model, not a curated record. The transcript has 4 exons. NCBI's taxonomy places the organism in Eukaryota, Metazoa, Arthropoda, Malacostraca, Decapoda, Portunidae.